AUUUAGAGGAAGUAAAAGUCGUAACAAGGUUUCCGUAGGUGAACCUGCGGAAGGAUCAUUAGUGAAUAUAGGACGUCCAACUUAACUNNGAGUCCGAACUCUCACUUUCUAACCCUGUGCACUUGUUUGGGAUAGUAACUCUCGCAAGAGAGCGAACUCCUAUUCACUUAUAAACACAAAGUCUAUGAAUGUAUUAAAUUUUAUAACAAAAUAAAACUUUCAACAACGGAUCUCUUGGCUCUCGCAUCGAUGAAGAACGCAGCGAAAUGCGAUAAGUAAUGUGAANUGCAGAAUUCAGUGAAUCAUCGAAUCUUUGAACGCACCNUGCGCUCCAUGGUAUUCCGUGGAGCAUGCCUGUUUGAGUGUCAUGAAUACUUCAACCCUCCUCUUUCUUAAUGAUUGAAGAGGUGUUUGGUUUCUGAGCGCUGCUGGCCUUUACGGUCUAGCUCGUUNGUAAUGCAUUAGCAUCCGCAAUCGAACUUCGGAUUGACUUGGCGUAAUAGACUAUUCGCUGAGGAAUUCUAGUCUUCGGAUUAGAGCCGGGUUGGGUUAAAGGAAGCUUCUAAUCAGAA
RNAcentral lists this ribosomal RNA (572 nucleotides) under Rhodotorula mucilaginosa. RNAcentral describes it as "eukaryotic LSU rRNA". The stretch from base 215 to 368 matches the Rfam family "5.8S ribosomal RNA". The record is from RNAcentral. Lineage: Eukaryota; Fungi; Basidiomycota; Microbotryomycetes; Sporidiobolales; Sporidiobolaceae.